GUCUCUUUGAUUUUAUUUAAUAGAGAGUUGGGCCUGCUCGGUGAUUUAUAUUUAACAGCUGCGGUAUUAUAACUGUACUAAGGUAGCAUAAUAAUUUGCUCUAUAAAUUAGGGCUAGAAUGAAUGGUUUGACGAAAAUUAGACGUGUCUCUGUUUUAUUUAUUAGAAAUUAAUUAUUAUAGUGAAAAGCUUGGAUGAUUUAAAGGGACGAAAAGACCCUAUUGAGCUUAUAUUAGCAAUGAUUAUAUAAAUAUAUAAUUAUUGAGAUGUAAUUUUGGUUGGGGUGUCAAUGAAUAAAUUAUAUAAUAACUUCUUUAAUAUAUUUGUUUUGAUAGGGUAAUAAACCAAAUUUUUUUUGCUUAUAAGAUAAGUUACCAUAGGGAUAACAGCGUAAUUUUUUUUGAGAGUUCAUAUUGAAAAAAGAGAUUGCGACCUCGAUGUUGGAUUAAAAUUAACCUUAAGGUGUAGAGGCUUUAUUAGGUGAAUCUGUUCGAUUUUUAAAAUUUUAC
RNAcentral lists this ribosomal RNA (508 nucleotides) under Octopus sp. HBH-7. RNAcentral's name for it is "partial 16S ribosomal RNA". It matches the Rfam family "Bacterial large subunit ribosomal RNA", at positions 1817 to 2599 of the family's 2925-position model. Lineage: Eukaryota; Metazoa; Mollusca; Cephalopoda; Octopoda; Octopodidae. The record is from RNAcentral.